RNAcentral lists this ribosomal RNA (2906 nucleotides) under Citrobacter freundii. RNAcentral describes it as "23S ribosomal RNA". It matches the Rfam family "Bacterial large subunit ribosomal RNA". The record is from RNAcentral. Lineage: Bacteria; Pseudomonadati; Pseudomonadota; Gammaproteobacteria; Enterobacterales; Enterobacteriaceae.
GGUUAAGCGACUAAGCGUACACGGUGGAUGCCCUGGCAGUCAGAGGCGAUGAAGGACGUGCUAAUCUGCGAUAAGCGUCGGUAAGGUGAUAUGAACCGUUAUAACCGGCGAUUUCCGAAUGGGGAAACCCAGUGUGAUUCGUCACACUAUCAUUACGUGAAUACAUAGCGUAAUGAAGCGAACCGGGGGAACUGAAACAUCUAAGUACCCCGAGGAAAAGAAAUCAACCGAGAUUCCCCCAGUAGCGGCGAGCGAACGGGGAGCAGCCCAGAGUCUGAAUCAGCUUGUGUGUUAGUGGAACGGUCUGGAAAGUCCGACGGUACAGGGUGAUAGUCCCGUACACCAAAAUGCACAGGUUGUGAACUCGAAGAGUAGGGCGGGACACGUGGUAUCCUGUCUGAAUAUGGGGGGACCAUCCUCCAAGGCUAAAUACUCCUGACUGACCGAUAGUGAACCAGUACCGUGAGGGAAAGGCGAAAAGAACCCCGGCGAGGGGAGUGAAAAAGAACCUGAAACCGUGUACGUACAAGCAGUGGGAGCCUCUUUAUGGGGUGACUGCGUACCUUUUGUAUAAUGGGUCAGCGACUUAUAUUCUGUAGCAAGGUUAACCGUAUAGGGGAGCCGAAGGGAAACCGAGUCUUAACUGGGCGUUAAGUUGCAGGGUAUAGACCCGAAACCCGGUGAUCUAGCCAUGGGCAGGUUGAAGGUUGGGUAACACUAACUGGAGGACCGAACCGACUAAUGUUGAAAAAUUAGCGGAUGACUUGUGGCUGGGGGUGAAAGGCCAAUCAAACCGGGAGAUAGCUGGUUCUCCCCGAAAGCUAUUUAGGUAGCGCCUCGUGAAUUCAUCUUCGGGGGUAGAGCACUGUUUCGGCUAGGGGGUCAUCCCGACUUACCAACCCGAUGCAAACUGCGAAUACCGAAGAAUGUUAUCACGGGAGACACACGGCGGGUGCUAACGUCCGUCGUGAAGAGGGAAACAACCCAGACCGCCAGCUAAGGUCCCAAAGUCAUGGUUAAGUGGGAAACGAUGUGGGAAGGCACAGACAGCCAGGAUGUUGGCUUAGAAGCAGCCAUCAUUUAAAGAAAGCGUAAUAGCUCACUGGUCGAGUCGGCCUGCGCGGAAGAUGUAACGGGGCUAAACCAUGCACCGAAGCUGCGGCAGCGACACUAUGUGUUGUUGGGUAGGGGAGCGUUCUGUAAGCCGUUGAAGGUGGCCUGUGAGGGUUGCUGGAGGUAUCAGAAGUGCGAAUGCUGACAUAAGUAACGAUAAUGCGGGUGAAAAACCCGCACGCCGGAAGACCAAGGGUUCCUGUCCAACGUUAAUCGGGGCAGGGUGAGUCGACCCCUAAGGCGAGGCCGAAAGGCGUAGUCGAUGGGAAACAGGUUAAUAUUCCUGUACUUGGUGUUACUGCGAAGGGGGGACGGAGAAGGCUAUGUUAGCCGGGCGACGGUUGUCCCGGUUUAAGCAUGUAGGCGGAGGUUCCAGGUAAAUCCGGUACCUUUUAACGCUGAGGUGUGAUGACGAGGCACUACGGUGCUGAAGUAACAAAUGCCCUGCUUCCAGGAAAAGCCUCUAAGCAUCAGGUAACACGAAAUCGUACCCCAAACCGACACAGGUGGUCAGGUAGAGAAUACCAAGGCGCUUGAGAGAACUCGGGUGAAGGAACUAGGCAAAAUGGUGCCGUAACUUCGGGAGAAGGCACGCUGAUAUGUAGGUGAAGUGAUUUACUCAUGGAGCUGAAAUCAGUCGAAGAUACCAGCUGGCUGCAACUGUUUAUUAAAAACACAGCACUGUGCAAACACGAAAGUGGACGUAUACGGUGUGACGCCUGCCCGGUGCCGGAAGGUUAAUUGAUGGGGUUAUCCGUAAGGAGAAGCUCUUGAUCGAAGCCCCGGUAAACGGCGGCCGUAACUAUAACGGUCCUAAGGUAGCGAAAUUCCUUGUCGGGUAAGUUCCGACCUGCACGAAUGGCGUAAUGAUGGCCAGGCUGUCUCCACCCGAGACUCAGUGAAAUUGAACUCGCUGUGAAGAUGCAGUGUACCCGCGGCAAGACGGAAAGACCCCGUGAACCUUUACUAUAGCUUGACACUGAACACUGGUCCUUGAUGUGUAGGAUAGGUGGGAGGCUUUGAAGUGUGGACGCCAGUCUGCAUGGAGCCAUCCUUGAAAUACCACCCUUUAAUGGCUGGUGUUCUAACGUGGACCCGUAAUCCGGGUUGCGGACAGUGUCUGGUGGGUAGUUUGACUGGGGCGGUCUCCUCCUAAAGAGUAACGGAGGAGCACGAAGGUUAGCUAAUCCUGGUCGGACAUCAGGAGGUUAGUGCAAAGGCAUAAGCUAGCUUGACUGCGAGAGUGACGGCUCGAGCAGGUGCGAAAGCAGGUCUUAGUGAUCCGGUGGUUCUGAAUGGAAGGGCCAUCGCUCAACGGAUAAAAGGUACUCCGGGGAUAACAGGCUGAUACCGCCCAAGAGUUCAUAUCGACGGCGGUGUUUGGCACCUCGAUGUCGGCUCAUCACAUCCUGGGGCUGAAGUAGGUCCCAAGGGUAUGGCUGUUCGCCAUUUAAAGUGGUACGCGAGCUGGGUUUAGAACGUCGUGAGACAGUUCGGUCCCUAUCUGCCGUGGGCGCUGGAGAAUUGAGGGGGGCUGCUCCUAGUACGAGAGGACCGGAGUGGACGCAUCACUGGUGUUCGGGUUGUCAUGCCAAUGGCAUUGCCCGGUAGCUAAAUGCGGAAGAGAUAAGUGCUGAAAGCAUCUAAGCACGAAACUUGCCCCGAGAUGAGUUCUCCCUGAGACUAUAAGUCUCCUGAAGGAACGUUGAAGACGACGACGUUGAUAGGUCGGGUGUGUAAGUGUAGCGAUACAUUGAGCUAACCGAUACUAAUGAACCGUGAGGCUUAACCUU